RNAcentral lists this long non-coding RNA (348 nucleotides) under Lathyrus oleraceus (garden pea). RNAcentral describes it as "Pisum sativum (pea) long non-coding RNA (PSAT_LNC029631)". Lineage: Eukaryota; Viridiplantae; Streptophyta; Magnoliopsida; Fabales; Fabaceae. The record is from RNAcentral.
GAAUUAUUUUAUUACUUGAGAUCAUUUUUAGUACACUUGUAAGAAAUUCAUCAAGUUUUUGGCGUCGUUGUCACGAAUUGUUGAAUUAUUUGAACAGAUAGAUUUUGGUGUUUAAAAGUUUUAUUUUUUUAUUUUUUUAUUUUUUAUUUUAUUUUUUCUAUUUCAUUUCCUAUUUAGUUUUAUUUUUUAUUUUUGUUAUGAUUAUGUUUUUUACUUGGUGUAGUGCCACUAAGGUAUUUUCUGAUUGUUUAUGCAUGAUUUAGGAUCGCAAAGACGACUAGAGAAAAUCAGAAAGCAGUGAGAAGAAAGUAAGUAGUUAUGGCUAAUCCACAACCUAGGAGGACUAUG